Molecule: ribosomal RNA, 476 nt
Filed under: uncultured bacterium
Lineage: Bacteria
Description: bacterial SSU rRNA
Rfam family: Bacterial small subunit ribosomal RNA
Source: RNAcentral
GAUGAACGCUAGCGGCAGGCUUAACACAUGCAAGUCGAGGGUAUAGUUCUUCGGAACUAGAGACCGGCGCACGGGUGCGUAACGCGUAUGCAAUCUACCUUUACAGAGGGAUAGCCCAGAGAAAUUUGGAUUAAUACCUCAUAGUAUUUUCGAAUCGCAUGAUUUGAUUAUUAAAGUUCCAACGGUAAAAGAUGAGUAUGCGUCCCAUUAGUUAGUUGGUAAGGUAACGGCUUACCAAGACUACGAUGGGUAGGGGUCCUGAGAGGGAGAUCCCCCACACUGGUACUGAGACACGGACCAGACUCCUACGGGAGGCAGCAGUGAGGAAUAUUGGACAAUGGGCGCAAGCCUGAUCCAGCCAUGCCGCGUGCAGGAUGACGGUCCUAUGGAUUGUAAACUGCUUUUGUACAGGAAGAAACACCUCUACGUGUAGAGACUUGACGGUACUGUAAGAAUAAGGAUCGGCUAACUCCGUG